RNAcentral lists this ribosomal RNA (1083 nucleotides) under Triticum aestivum (bread wheat). RNAcentral's name for it is "partial small subunit ribosomal RNA". The record is from RNAcentral. Lineage: Eukaryota; Viridiplantae; Streptophyta; Magnoliopsida; Poales; Poaceae.
AUGCCACUGUCGGAUAAGAAACUGCGUAGGGCAGACCUACAACUGACAAUUGACCGCCUUGCUGGUAAGUGCUCCGGAUGGAAGAUAGACUUGAUAAAUCUGAUAGGGAGAGUGGUUCUGGCCCGGGUAGUGCUAUCGGCGAUGCCAACCUUUCAGAUGAUUGCAAUACCUCAAGCAAAGUGGCUGGACCAAAAGAUUGACAAGAUCUGUCGGCCUUUCCUUUGGGCUGGCAAAAGCUCUGUCUCAGGCGGCAAAUGCCUUGCAAAUUGGAAAUCCAUUUGCAGACCGACCACAUAUGGAGGGCUGGGUAUCUCAAACCUCGAGUACCAUGGCACAACGCUGCGUAUUCGCUGGCUCUGGCAACAGGCCAAGUUUCCGGACAAGCCAUGGAUGGGACUGCCUUUCCCUUGUGAUAAACUCUCCUACAACAUCUUCAUAGCAAGCAUGGUGAUUAUCAUUGGAUCGGGAGCCACCAUCUCCUUCUGGCACAGUCAUUGGUGGCAGGGUACGCCACUGAGAGACCUCUUUCCACAGCUGUACUUGCAUAGCAGAGGGCACAACCUAUCGCUAAUGAGGGCGCUUGCUGACCGUAAAUGGAUCACAUGCAUCAAGGAUAAUCCGACCGCUCAGGUGCUGGCUGACUAUGUACGCGUCUGGAAUAUUACGACACAAGUAAACCUCUCCCCAACGCAACCUGUUGACAUCCGGUGGAAGUGGACGGCUGAUGGGCAGUACUCGGCCCGGAUGGCCUACCAAAUGCUGUUUCAAGGGAGAAUCAGAACCAACCACAACAUGCUCAUCUGGUCUUCUCGGACGCCUCCCAAGUGCCAAAUGCAUACACGGCUUCCAGUCCAAGGGCGUUGCAAUACAACAGAUCAGCUCGCGAAGAAGAACUGGCCUCACACCCCAAUCUGCACUUUGUGCCAGCAGCAACGGGAGAAUGCCCUACACCUGUUUGCUCAAUGCCAAUGCACCUGCUUACUAUGGCAGAUGAUCUUACAACGGUUUCAUGCCCAAAUCACCCUAACAGGAGCCGACGAGCCCUCGAUCUCCCUUGAAAAUUGGUGGUACAACUCUGUCUGA